Molecule: ribosomal RNA, 438 nt
Filed under: uncultured archaeon
Lineage: Archaea
Description: bacterial SSU rRNA
Rfam family: Archaeal small subunit ribosomal RNA
Source: RNAcentral
GGACCUGACUGCUAUCGGAUUGAUACUAAGCCAUGCGAGUCAUUGUAGUAAUACAAGGCAGACGGCUCAGUAACGCGUAGUCAACCUACCCUAUGGACGGGGAUAACCUCGGGAAACUGAGAAUAAUACCCGAUAGAACAUUAUGCCUGGAAUGGUUUAUGUUUCAAAUAAUUUAUUGCCGUAGGAUGGGACUGCGGCCUAUCAGUUUGUUGGUGAGGUAAUGGCCCACCAAGACUAUUACAGGUACGGGCUCUGAGAGGAGUAGCCCGGAGAUGGGUACUGAGACACGGACCCAGGCCCUAUGGGGCGCAGCAGGCGAGAAAACUUUGCAAUGUGCGAAAGCACGACAAGGUUAAUCCGAGUGGUUUCUGCUAAAGGAACCUUUUGUCAGUCCUAGAAACACUGAUGAAUAAGGGGUGGGCAAGUUCUGGUGUCAAA